This 374-nucleotide ribosomal RNA is filed under the name uncultured bacterium. Its description in RNAcentral is "bacterial SSU rRNA". It matches the Rfam family "Bacterial small subunit ribosomal RNA", at positions 29 to 417 of the family's 1533-position model. The record is from RNAcentral.
AAUCAACGCUGGCGGCGCGCUUAACACAUGCAAGUCGCACGAGAAAGGGGGCGAACCCUGAGUAAAGUGGCGCACGGGUGAGUAACACGUGGAUGAUCCACCUCUUUGUGGGGAAUAACUCUGGGAAACCGGAGCUAAUACCGCAUAAGCUCGAGAGAGGAAAGCAGAAAUGCGCAGAGAGAGGAGUCCGCGGCCGAUUAGCUAGUUGGCGGGGUAAAAGCCCACCAAGGCUUCGAUCGGUAGCCGGCCUGAGAGGGCACACGGCCACACUGGCACUGAAACACGGGCCAGACUCCUACGGGAGGCAGCAGUGGGGAAUCUUGCACAAUGGGGGAAACCCUGAUGCAGCGACGCCGCGUGAGUGAUGAAGUCCU